AAAGCAUGAAAAAAAAGAGAAACAUACGAUGAAAAGAAGAAAAACAAAGCUACCUGCUGUUGCCCCUCCCCACGCCCAACCUCCCUCUUUCUCUGCUACCUCUUCUUCCUCUUCUAUUGCUGACUCACACGAAAACAUUACUUUUGAUCCACACGAUUAUGUGUAACCAAAAUACAAAUCCCCUCUUUUUUUUUCUCUCUUUUCUUUUGUCUCCUUCUGAAGGGAAAAAAAAAAUAAAUUUUUUUAA
This 247-nucleotide non-coding RNA is filed under the name Paramoeba aestuarina. The record is from RNAcentral. Lineage: Eukaryota; Discosea; Flabellinia; Dactylopodida; Paramoebidae.